Molecule: ribosomal RNA, 305 nt
Filed under: uncultured bacterium
Lineage: Bacteria
Description: partial 16S ribosomal RNA
Rfam family: Bacterial small subunit ribosomal RNA
Source: RNAcentral
ACAGCAGUCGCCGCGGUAAUACGUAGGUGGCAAGCGUUGUCCGGAUUUAUUGGGCGUAAAGCGAGCGCAGGCGGUCAAUUAAGUCUGAUGUGAAAGCCCCCGGCUCAACCGGGGAGGGUCAUUGGAAACUGGUUGACUUGAGUGCAGAAGAGGAGAGUGGAAUUCCAUGUGUAGCGGUGAAAUGCGUAGAUAUAUGGAGGAACACCAGUGGCGAAGGCGACUCUCUGGUCUGUAACUGACGCUGAGGCUCGAAAGCGUGGGUAGCAAACAGGAUUAGAUACCCCAGUAGUCCCUGUCUCUUAUAC